GAAGUUAAUGCACCCACAGGUUAACUUGGAAAAUAUCACAAAACGUACUGCACGGUAGGAGAAUGGAUAGGGACUCUAAAAAUUAUAAAGGCGUUUUAGUGGACUUUUUAGUUAUCCUGCUGGCAGAGUCGGAUGAUCUUCGUGGUCCUGGUUGCUGGUUCUCAGUGAUGAUAGUGACAGAAUGAGGUUCAACGCAGCGCAACUGGCAUUGCUGGCCAGGGGGCAGCCAGGAAGUUUUGAUAGAGAAGGAAAGCUCAGAGUGUACCGCAUUCCUGCAAGCAAUUCCAACAAACCUCAAGAGAUUACUGAGAGAUGGUGUCGGCUGAAAGGGAACCUGCUCUUUUUAAUGAAAAAACAGAUCCAAAAGUCUGAGCCAGCCGAGGUUGUAGUCCUAGAACGGUGCCACAUUGUGGAGAGCAGAAAUGCUGCAUUAAGCAUCAAGUUUGAGAGCGGAGAGCCAGAUCUAUAUCUUGAAGCCUUCACUAAGUCGGACUGCAAAUCCUGGAUUGCAGCACUCCGAGAGGCAAACUCGGAAGGUUUGCAAAAAAGAAUUCAUCACCUUAGGCAGCUGAUCAUGGAGAUUAAGGGAAGCGAACCGGCAGACAGCCUAGGAGGUGAAGCACAGCAGGCUGGUGCAGCGAUGAUUCCAAAACCACCAAGGCUAGAGUUCAGUCUUGAGUGCAGGGAGCUUGCAGCAACAACCCGAGAGAGGAAGCCUAAUGCAGUUGUUCAGAUCUCUGUGAUAAACACACAGCAGCAAAGUUUGACUGUUUUCUCCAGCACGGAAAUAGUGGAGGGAACAAGAGACCCACUGUUCCUGACCGGUGUGACUUUCCCACCAGAAUACCCCAUCUGUGAUGGAACUCGGUUCAAGCUAACAGUCUAUGAUGUCAAGGAUAAAUCCCCAGAAAUUAGAAGCUUCCUGGGCUGCACAACAUUUUCAGUAGGUGACCUGGUAAAGUCCAAGGAUCAGCAGUUAACCCUCAGCCUGAGAACAUCAGAUGGUACCAACGCAGUGGGCAGCAUAGUGGUCAGCCAAUUGAAGAUGGGGGAGAUAGAGGAUGGAGAAGUGGACCAAAUUGCAACAGAUGCGCAGGGACAAAAGUGCACCUUCAUUUGUGAGUCUGCGUCACACGGAACCACAAAUGACGACAAAGACAAUAGCCAUUUGAUGAAUGCAGUAUUUAAAAACCCAGUCUGUAAAGUGUACAGAUUUCAGACUGUCGACAGCAAGUGGAUGUUCAUUCGAGAACAGAUGGCAGAAUGCACUCUAUCCUUUAACAUCCCCAAGCAGCUGAUGACACUUUACAUACAAGAAGACAUGAGGAGGAUACAGGAGUUGAAGGAGCUGGGGGAUCUCUCACCACACUGGGAUAAUCUUCGUAAAGACGUGAUUAAUCACUGUAGGCAGAUUAUUAGCAGCUACCAGGAAACCCUCACUGAAAUCAACAAGCUUACAGGCUCUUCUUUUAAACCAAGCAUCAGUAAAGCAGAGAAAUAUUUAGAAUUCAUCCCAAUUAAUCUCCACACGCAAAGAAUGAGGGUUAACUGCCCGAGGAAAACAGAUGCUGCUUACGAUGUCAUCACUGUUGGAGCCCCUGCGGCCCACUUUCAGGGAUUUAAAAAUGGAGGUCUUCAUAGGCUGCUGAGCAGAUUUGAAGCAGAAAAGAAAAACACAGCAUACCAGUGCAUCUACUAUUCACCUGAAAACACAUCUAAAGCAAAGGAGGUACUUACAAGCAUCAGCCUGCUGCAGCCCCUCAUCUCCAGCCUCGGUGACCAGCUGCUUCACUCUGCUCAGCAGCACUCCUCCGACAGCCUCAAGGAGGCUUUGAAGACACUUUCAGACAAAACGGAACAGUUUGUACACGUACUGAAAGACGAGUUGGUCAAGAACGCCCUGCUUGCACUCUACACAGCUCGACCUGGCUACGUCAGUAAGAUGAAUUCAGCGGUUUGUAACCAUGUUGACGAAAGCAACCCCACACCAAAGGAAGACUCCACCUCCACGCCACCUCCUCUGAAACGACAGGACUCCAUACCUCAUCAUUCUGAAUACGACGAGGAAGAGUGGGACAGGGUUUGGGUGAAUGUAGCAAUGAGCUUAAACUGCAUCAUUGCCAUGGUGGACAGGCUACUAGAGCAUGAAAAUAAUAAUCAGGAAGCAGGAGCGGAUCCUUCGCUAGCAGAUGUCAUCACUUCACACACCAACGGUGACUGGCAUGAGCAGCUCUACCCUCUGGUGGUGACACUGAAGGACUGCGUCAAUGAAGUCGUUCAUCGAGCCAGAAAGUCUAUGGCAUUUGUUUUGCUGCAGGAAGCGGCAUGCAGCAUUCCUCAAGGCCUUUUCCUAAAGCAGAGGAGAGAUGUGGUCUUUAGUCAAGCACUUGCAGCUGUUGCCUGCGGGUUUGUGAUGAGAUUGUACACGGGUCUUGAUGAUAAAGGCUUCCUGCAGCAGCUUCACACGGUUGGACUUAUAGCACAGUUUGAAAGCCUUCUAAGUACAUACAGCGACGAGGUUGGGAUGCUGGAGGAUAUGGAGGUUGGCAUUUCAGAUUUGCGGAGAGUGACAUUUAGAAUUGCUGAAGCCAAAUCUGAUGAACCCAGUGAUCUGCAGCCCAUUGUGACUGGAAGGCGGGACUAUUAUACUGUUGAAGUGCCAUUACCACGAGAGGUGUUUGAGGGACUACCAGAUGAGAUCAAAGAAGGCAAGCCAUUACAUGUGUAUCCAGUACUCUUUAAUAUUGGCAUAAAUCAGCAGCAGACACUGGCAGAGAGGUUUGGAGACAUCUCUUUACAAGAAAGAAUCAACCAGGAAAACUUUCAGAUUUUAAAUGAAUAUUACAGAAUAUUAAGUGAAAAAGUGCCACUGGAAUGUUUACCUAGAUUUCAAACUCAAACAGACUUGAAAGAAUUACUUGAAAUCCUCCAUCAGAACAUUCAGAUAAAGAAGAGGAAGAAUGUGGAAAUACUGUGGCUUGCAGGAACAAUUUGCCGCAGGAUGAAUGGAAUCCGCUUUACCAGCUGUAAAAGUGCCAAAGACAGAACGUCCAUGUCCGUCACGCUGGAGCAGUGUGCGCUGCUGAGGGACGAACAUGAGCUGAGCAAGGACUAUUUCAUCCGAGCGCUGGACUGCAUGCGUAGUAGAUACACCCAGGGAGGCUUGAGUGAGUGGGAGGACCCUGAGGCUGCUUCUGUAGCUGAUAACAAGUCAACUUCCCGCCACUUCUAUCCUAUCGCUCUCCUGCUUGUCAGCUCCCACUUGCUGGUUGUGUGGCUGAUUUUAAGUCUUGCUUUACUCCUUGCCAAGUAUCAAUGAAUUAUAUCUUGUUUAUGCUUACAAUGCGGCAUUUAUUUUAAAUUGUGCUUAUUUUACAAUAGAAAAUAAACUAUUUAAUUUUGUAAUUCAACCUUGGAAUUUGUCUGAUUUAGUUAUUUUAUUAUUGUUUGUUAAAUUAUUGGAUAAUAACCACAAGCAUGGACAAAUAUUAUAUUUGUCAGCUUACCAAAAUGGAUUGCACACAUAGCUUGUAAAUAUGUCAACCACACAAUUGAAAUAAUGUGGCUUUAUUUUCUUCUGUCUUUAAAAGAAUGCAAAGUUGCUCUUUGUUCUCUAAUAAGCAGUUAAGAAUGACUAAUAAUUUUGGAAUAUUUUUUAACAAGUGAAUAUAACAAUGCUUAACAAUAUUUCAUUGUUGUGUGUCUGAAGCACUGCUUAUUAUUGGUAUUGUUUAGUAAAGAUAUGUAACUGGCCUCCCAUGGAGACAAAAUGCAGUGCUUUAUGAAUAGAAUAAUACAUACCUUGAAUUAAAUAUUUAAUUUUUUAAAAGGAGUUAUAUUUUUAACACUCAUUUUAUUUAUUUAAUUUAAUGUAUGCUUUAUUUAUCAUUUAACACAAUUUAACAUGUUUAUUUUCAUUAAAUGUAUUCAUCGUUUAUCAGAGUUGGGGUCCAUUCCGUUUUUCAAUUCCAAUUCCAAUUCAAUCUGAUCAAUUCCAAUUCCAGUCCAUGAAACAAUACUAGAAUUGUGUAGUUAAGCAUAAUAACUCACAUUCAUUUGAUGUGUACAUCUUUAUUGUUUUAUUACAACUGUUCAUAACAAAGAAAUAUUGAUUUUUGAAGUUGUGUUAGUAGUACAGGUUAUUGUAUACAAUAUAAUGUACGCCUGUAUAUCCAAGUAAUAUGAGGAAAAAAGACAAUGUUCUUUACAGAUGUAUAAUACUGUGCAUGUGAUAUUACCUAUAAAAUACAGCAUCGACAUAACAGUUUAUGUUAUAAUCUUUUUUUUUCAUUCAGCAUUUGUAUUCAAACAUGAACAUUAUUGUGGUUACACCAGAUAAUCAUAAGUUCUUCACAUUUCCGAUCACUUGGAUGACACCAUUCUGGCCUGAAUACUUUGCCUGCCACACUAAAAAGUCUCUCGACAGGUGCUGAAGAGGCAGGUGAGGUGAGAUAUUUGCUGGCUAAGAUAGGAAACUUGUUCUGGUUUUCCUUCCAGUAUGCUAGAGGAUUAGCAUCUUCUGACAAGCAUGGUUGGCUCAAGUAAUUAGUGAGCUCAUCAGAAGCAGUUGUGCUUGAUGGGGUUGGUGUGGAGUGGGUAGUCAUCUAUGAAAAAAGUUUUAUACGUUUCUUUGGUGGGGAUGAUGUUGAAUCCCUUGCUAUGGCAUCUACUUUUGGACACACAGAGAUGACCUUAUUGGUCAAAAGUUCUCUGAUACUGUUCACCAGUUCACCCAUGCACCAAUCCAGUUUGAAACGUGGGUCCAGAGUGGCAGCCAUCUGGAAACACUCCAUGUCCUUAAACUUGGCAAGGCAUUUCUAAAGGGAAGAUUGCAUGGUUACCACAAACUUGCUGUUGUAGGUUUCCCGUAGACCCUGAACACACGCAGUGACAUAACUGGUAGUGACUACCUGAUCUCCCUGGCACUUGACGGUGCCUUCCUCAAAGGGCUCCAGUUUUUCACACAGUUCCCCUAUGAGUUUCAGUUCAUAAGACGUUAACUUACACGUGGCAUGAAGCUCAGACAGAACUUCUGCAGGGACUCGCAGGAUGGAACUCAUCAUCUUCAAUUGGCUAUUCCACCUAGUGGCAUUUGCAAUCUGCAGUUUGAAAUGUCCUUCUGGGACCUCAGUGGCUUUGGUGGAAUUGUGGUAAAAUCAUUCGAGUCUGGAAACCUUUGCUAUCACUGCCUUUAUAGGGCCAGUCUGUUCCAGGGCAUCACGGACAACAAGUUGUAGAGUGUGAGCAAAGCAGGGGCUCUGUUCAAGUGGAAAAUAAUCCAACUCCUCACUUACAUCGACCAAAUCAACAACGUCGGUUGACACAUCCUGAUCUGUGUCACUGUCCUGGACAUCCGAUGGUGGGAACAUGGUGAACACCUUCAGCAUGUUGGCAGCAUUAUCAGCUACUAUGCUAGAUAUCUUGUUUGCUAUGUUGUAGCAUGUCAUUAUCUCCUCAUACAUUCUGAAGAUUUCUGCAGUGUGUUUACCCUUAAAACGCCGACAGGUCAACAUGAUACUUUGUAGUGCGUAAUCCUGAAUGAAGUGGCCUGUGAUCCAGAAAAAUGACCUCAUGUCCCUGCUCGACCACAGAUCUAUGGUUAGGCAGAUGUCUUGGGCUUGCUGCAUUUGACUCCUCAGGUGAUCUAGGAUGCUGGCAGUGUGCUGAGGAAUAAGUGUCUGGCUGAUGUGUUUCCUAAUUGGAAUUGUCCAAAAAAUUCCAGUUCCAUUCGGAAUUGACCCCAACUCUGUCGUUUGAGCGUAUUUGUUUUUAGGACAUUCCAAUUUGUGUUGUAUAAUAAUUAGGGUUAUUAUUUUCACAUUGUUUAUUAAGCAUGUCAAAUGUCUAUACUGUAGCUGCAGCAUUUGGGUUUGAGAUCUUACUAGCCUGCCUCUAUUCUCAUGGAGCAAAGGAGGCUAUUCCACUGUCUGCUCUUCCUGUAGCCAGUGAGAAUUGUAGAUUAUAUAUUUCAAAACAAUUGAUGGGGGGAAUGAAGUAAAAUGUUAAGUAUUUCUGAGACAUGUGAGGUGUAGGCAUUCUCAACCAAUUAGCUGAACUGCAAAAAAAAAAAAGGAUUUUGUGAAUGUUGUCCAGUCUGCUGAAUGCUUCAGUCUAGUUUGCUUUAACACCACACCCCCCCAGCCCCGCUUUUAAGAACAACAUUUUAUAUUGUAACCCAAAUUGAUACCCUCGUUUUCUACAGGUCAUCCUGUAAUUGCAUUGUUUACCAGCUUUCUUGCCUGUUCUGCAAAAACACCUGUUGUGUUUAUUGCAGAGCUUGUUUUGUAGCAGUAAAUGUAAGUAUCAGUUUAGAUAAGAUACUGUAUGAAUGAAUGGGGAUAACAAAUAUACCUUCGGUAAACUACACAAGUUAUAAAGACAACAUGAAAAAGUUAAAAGCAGUUUGUACUGUGAUUACUUCAGGGUUGACAUUAAUGCUAAGAGGAGAUGGAGGGAGUCCAGAGCUGUCAAAAAACUUGUGUUCUACAGAUCAGAGCUGUCCAAAAUUUUCAAUAAAAGAGUCUGCUUACUAAUGACCAGGGAGUUCUUAAAAAGCCAUACAAUACUAACAGAAAAAAGAAAGACUGUAACGUAAAUCUAAGUUUAAUUUGCUAAAAACUAGUAGCUGACCAAAUAUUAGUGAAGACAUUUUAAAAAAACAGAUCCAGAAAAAGGUUUUUGCCACCUGACUGCAAAAAACAACAUUUUAGCAUGUUUGUGCUCAUUAAACGUGUGUCAUAUUUAUACGCAGGACCAGUUAAUUUGCAUGGACUGUGCUCUCUUCUAGAAUUCUUUGCCACUGUGGUCAUGUAAACAUAGCCCAAUGUUUUCUAGUAUAUAUAUAUAUAUAUAUAUAUAUAUAUAUAGUCAAGAAUUUUUCGCAACGUACUCUUUUUAUUUAUAUAUAUGCUCUGAGCACAUUCUUAUACUCAGGGGAGUCGUUCAGGAGGACAUGAAGAUGUUUAAAACUCCUGUAGUGGAUUGUUCAUGCACUGGGCUUGCAACAUGUCCAGAUGACUUUUUAAUAAUCAAGAAAAUCACACAGACUCAUUUAAUUUGAAGUUUUAACGAAUCAGAGCAGUAAUUGUGCUCUUUUCGGUUUAUUAAAUGCUUAUGUUAAAAAUUGGAUUGGUUGGUUGCGCAGACCACCAUAAAUCCCAAGUAAAAAGCAGUCUGGGCGAUCCUGUGCUUUACAGGUUUACAGCAUUAAUACUUCAAUACAGUGAUACGAAUAUGGUUAUCAUAUAUUUAGCUCUUAGGCUAUAAAAUGCAAAAAGCUAAAAACGCCCACCGCUAAAUUUUAGAACAUUCAAUAUAUAUCAUCACUCUCUUAAGACUAAAACAUAAUUUCUAUACCUUAUAGCAAUGCAUCAAUAUAAAAGAGAUAUUAAAUUCAAAUAUAUGCUUACCUUCCAGUAUAUGGAAGUGUAGUGUAGGAUAUAUUGACAAAUAAGAACUGUCUUCAAAAGGCAGAGACUUGUGAAUACGACUAAACAGCAAUCAGUUUUUCAGAGAUCCUCAGGGCAUGGAUCACAUCAGCUUGUAGUUAGCAAGUUGAGCGAUACUUGACUGGGGUUUUACCUUGGUUUUUAUAGGAUUUUCCCUCCAUUGAAUACAUCAGGUCCCAAGUAAAUCUAAUCAUCACUCGGCCUUGACAUUUCUUAUCUUUAAGUUAAUGAUACAUUCUAGAAGGAUCUGGUCAACUCAUUUUUCAAAACUGAUUGAAUAUAACUUCUUGCCAAAAAUAUUGAAACAUGAUUUCAUCGCUCUCUUUUUCCAACUCCUCCUUUUACUGAAAAGUCAGGUGGACCAAAGUUCACAGAAUCCUUGCUACCAAAUACAAUACACAUAUAUGUGUACAUAUGAGAGAUGUUUUUAAUAUGUAAAACCAGCUUUAUUUGAUUAUAUUUAGCUAAAAUUAUAUUAUUAUUUAGUCAAAAAUUAUAUGUCCCUCUUAGCCGCAUAUUACAUUACCUUUUCAGUGUGUUGUGAAUGGGUCAGUUUAACUUCAUAUACAAAUGUGUGUUAACAAAGUUUUUGACAAAGACUGCCUUUGAAUAAGCAUACAGUGGUCAGUUCAAUUAGUUUAAUUUAAAUUUAAGCUAUAAUAAACAUGUUAAAUAUAAUAGCCUUAUUUAACUGUUCCAUUCUUGGACCAUGCCUGACCUCUCUCUCUGUUUCUAAAAGUUGCCUGCUCAAGCAGGAUUCAGACACCGUGUUUACUUGCCAAGACUAGUGUUUUAAUUAAUAUGAAACUCCACUGUAAGCACUUUUCCAAAUUCACCACAUGAAGUAAUUUUUUGGCCGAUUCAAGAGACACCUGGACCGGUAUCUUUUCAGAUAAUACCAAAAAAAGCUUGCAUCCUAAUUUUUAUAACUCAGCUCUCAUUAUUUUCUUAUAAUAUAAUGAGAUACAUAAUCCUGUCUUUCUUAAAGCAUCUUCCGUUGGUUAUUAUUCAAGGUUGGCAAAUCCCGCUUUUAAGAGCCAACACCGAAUCCUUUUUUGAGGUGCCAAAGACUAAGCUUUAUUUUUUGAAGGUCUAAUGCCCUUCCAGAAUUCUACUGUGUAUCUGAGACAAACAUUGAAUUCUUUCACUUUACAGUUUCCCUGUAAAUAAAUACCUUUGUUUCUUACUGCAGUAAAAUCUUUAUACAAACUAAACAUGCACUGUAUAUUCUUUGGUUUAAUUUAUAUAGUAAUGUCUAAAUACUUUUUGUUUAGUUGGAGAAACUGAACUAUUUUUAAAUUGAUUAAAUGAAAUGCUCAUUAUCGUAAACGUGUCAACAAUAUGGUUGCAAUUUAUUUGUUUAUUUAGCAGAAAAAAUAUAGAAAAUGAUUAUUGUAAGAUAAACGCCUAUCUUCUGUUAUCCCAAAGGUAUUUCCGUUUGUUAAUAUUAAUGAGAUCGCUCAUUAUAGAGAUGAUCUUGGCUUUUAAAUCGCUGACCACCAAAAAUCCCAGCUUCAUCGGCCAAAACCAAUGAGUCAUCUUCAACACUGCUUUUACUACAAGCAGGUGAGAACGAGGUUACAACAUCAGUUGUAUUGCUUCAACAAGUUUACUGUUAGAGUUACAGUUUAUACUUUGAAUGAUUUUAUAACAUGUAGUUCUAAUUCAGAUAUGUCAAUAUAGCAAUCUCUUAUGAACUACAAUUCUGUUUUAUUUCAUUGAUAUACAAUAAACCUCCCUUUAGGUAUUUACCUAGGCACUUGGGAGAAAUGGUAUAUUGAGGUGAUUAGUUUUGCAAUACUUAAGAAGGUAUUGAGAAAUGUGUAUGUUGGGGGGGGGGGGAUAUUAUUUGAGCCUGGCCAAAGAUUUGCUUUUUUAAGAUGUAUCAUCACUUGUAAAUAAUAAUAAUAAUAAUAAUAAUAAUAAUAAUAAUAAUAAUAAUAAUAAAAAAAGUAUAUCUUGUUAUUUUUACUUUUGGAGAUGUUGCUGCAACUCUUAAAUAUAUGAAUAAAUAAAAGUAUUUAUUUACGUUGUUUUUAUGAUGUAUUUUGUUUCCUUGGAACUUGGGUGAAAUGCUUUAUACAGUAUAGCUUUUAGAAGUGAGAAUCUGGAAACUGCAAAGCAGGAGAGAGAAUGCUGCCUGUCCUAUUAAAUAUGUGUGUACUGUCUGAAUGAGGCUGUUUUUGUUUUCUGCAACAAAACAUGUCUGAAACUUAUUUAUGCUCAGAUUGUAGCAUAUCGCAUAUGGUUAAGCUUUAUUAUUUAUCAAAAACAAGUUAUGUAUAUAACUGAUCUAUACAGAGUAGAAAUCUAAUUUAUUGGGCAAAAUCACAGGGAAAUGUUUAAAAGACAGACCUUAUUUAUUUCAUUUUACAUGUCCACAGUUUUAUAAAAUUAAAACUGAGAGCCAAUGCUACCCACAAAUGAGUACACUAGGGGCUGCUGAGGAGCAAUUUUCUUGUCAUAUGGGUACUCAGAUUGUACAAGUGCAUUUUUGACUAAUUUACGUCUUUGUUUUUUUACCAACUGAAGUGGCCGUAGUUUUUCUUAAUGUGUGUUUUACUGUUGGAAGUGCUCUAAAUUGAGUAUGAAAAAUAAUCGUUGCAUUGAUAAAUAUUUAUUUGUUUAUUUUCGCCUUUAUCCAAGGCGACUUACAGAGACUAGGGUGUGUGAACUAUGCAUCAGCUGCAGAGUCACUUACAAUUACAUCUCACCCAAAAGACGGAGCACAAGGAGGUUAAGUAACUUGCUCAGGGUCACACAAUGAGUCCGUGGCUGAGGUGGGAUUUGAACCAGGGACCUCCUGGUUACAAGCCCUUUUCUUUAACCACUGGACCACAUAGCCUCCUUAAAUAUGUUUUUACAUAUACUCUUUUAACUUAAGUCUCGCGACCACAAGGAAACAGUUGCACAAUGUGAUGAGUCCAGCAGCAUUUGAGAAAAAUUCUACUCUGGUAAUCACUCUUCCUUGAAAUUUAAAAACAUAGUCAGGGACUCACAUGACCAGAGACUUGAAAUCGUCCUGAGCAAUAGUUGAAGCAGCCUUGUGACUGUACUGUUUAAAAUCAAAUCACAGGCAUGUCAAAAAUAAUGAAUUAAAAUGAGUCUUCAAUCAGGAGAGCUUGAUUAAUGGUUUUCAGGCCUUGAACCCUUGUAACUGUCAUCACUAUUUCUCUAUAUGCCACUACCAAAAUUCAGCACUCAUGUAGAGAAGUUACAGCAGCCCUGUAUUUUUUCGUACCUUUUUAAUGAUGUUUUUUGAAUACUACUCUUGCUUUUAUUGAUAACAACAACAAACAAAAGCAAAUUAAUGUGGUGUAAAAAAGAAUGUCGGUACAAGAGCACAUCAUUUGUUUGAAGGGCUUUGAAAUACUUUAGGUGACAAAAUAUAACAACACAUUCUUUUCAUCUCUCAUGUCCAUUAACACAACUCCGUCUAUAAUUCUUCCAGUCACAACUUCUAAUUACUAAUCACUUUAUAUAAUGAUAUUUAUAUAUAAAAUAUACACCUCUGUCCAGCUCUUCUUUUUUCUCACAGUCCAUCAUCAGUGGUGUUUUGUCAUUCUGAUUUAUAGUGGACUAGUGUUACUAACCUGCUGGUGUUCUGUCUGUUCUUGACUUGUUUAACAGUAGAUACACCCAGGGAGGCUUGAGUGAGUGGGAGGACCCUGAGGCUGCUUCUGUAGCUGAUAACAAGUCAACUUCCCGCCACUUCUAUCCUAUCGCUCUCCUGCUUGUCAGCUCCCACUUGCUGGUUGUGUGGCUAAUUUUAAGUCUGGUUUUUCUUCUUGCUAAGUAUCAAUGAAGUGCUGUUUGUCUUGUUUAAUUUAUACCUCAUAGACUGGUUUAUUUUUACCUUUCACUUUAUCCAUAUAAUCUGUCAUUUUGUACUUGUUUGGUACUGUAUAGUUCUGGGACAGAAUAACAUUUGACACAUCUUGGUUUCAGAUGGACGAAGACUAACUUGCUUAUAUGUUUUUACUAUAUCAAAUUAUUAAUAUGUAUCCAUUUCGUAUUUGUGUACACAAAAUACAGAUAUGUUCUUCUGAUUAGACAAAUGAAUGCAGUUUACACUUUGGUUAUACAUGCCAAUAAGAACAUACACCACUACAUUUUUAUGCACAUGUUACUUCCAAACACUACUAUUUAUAAUGCUUGUCUGGGGGGGAUGUAUUUAACCUCCAUUUUGGAAAAAUAUGCACCGUUUUUUUAACCAAAGUCAGAUUUAAUUUAGAAGUGUGUUUACUUUCUGAAAUUUAUUUUUAUAUUUAAUUAUUAGUUACACUAUCCUACACUUAGAUAAUUGUUUGCUUUUUUAUGUUCUGCAAUAAAGACUUUGUCAUUGUA
RNA transcript from Acipenser ruthenus (sterlet), 11795 nucleotides. It is a transcript of the gene named type II inositol 3,4-bisphosphate 4-phosphatase-like, with no coding region annotated. The record is from RefSeq and is a predicted model, not a curated record. The transcript has 27 exons. NCBI's taxonomy places the organism in Eukaryota, Metazoa, Chordata, Actinopteri, Acipenseriformes, Acipenseridae.